UACGUAGGGGGCAAGCGUUGUCCGGAGUUACUGGGCGUAAAGCGCCCGCAGGCGGUCGUCUCAGUUCGGGGUGACAGCGCGCGGCUUAACUGCGCGAGGACCUCGAAGACGGGGCGACUGGAGGGCCAGAGAGGGACAUGGAACUCCGGGUGGAGUGGUGAAAUGCGUAGAGAUCCGGAAGAACACCAAAGGCGAAGGCAGUGUCCUGGCUGGUACCUGACGCUGAGGGGCGAAAGCGAGGGGAG
RNAcentral lists this ribosomal RNA (245 nucleotides) under uncultured bacterium. RNAcentral's name for it is "partial 16S ribosomal RNA". It matches the Rfam family "Bacterial small subunit ribosomal RNA", at positions 524 to 768 of the family's 1533-position model. The record is from RNAcentral.